Molecule: long non-coding RNA, 546 nt
Organism: Pyrus x bretschneideri (Chinese white pear)
Lineage: Eukaryota; Viridiplantae; Streptophyta; Magnoliopsida; Rosales; Rosaceae
Exons: 2
Source: RefSeq, a predicted model, not a curated record
UUCAUAAAGUUCAGAAAUUAGCCGCAAAACUGGUGUUCAAGGAGCUUCAGACAUGCUCAAGAUCGCUGACAGUUGUUAUAUAAAAAAAGCUUCUUAUAUGCAAUGACUGGAUCGUGUUAUGCUUUCUAGUCAGACAACGAGAAUCUGCUACACAAAGGAUCAUCUGAAACUUAAAUGCGACGCUUCAAAGUUGAAUCAGGCCUUGAGUUUACAACUUCUUACUGGCAUAUUACAAGUUGUUCUUCUGAAGUCGGACUGCCGAUUCUUCAGAAGCUAACAUGAGUUGGGCAUCUCUCUUUCAUAUUUUCCUUCCUAAAUACAUAUACUAUGUUCUUAUUUGGACGCAAUCAGGUUUCUGACUCGAUUAUGUAUAUAAAUCUCCCAUCUAAAGAUCGUAUAUACGGGUGUUCUGCUUAGAUUUCUUCCAAGUUAGUUCUGAAUUACCAUUGGCUUCUGAAUGAUAAGGUCAUGAAAGAUCGAUCACUUUGUAAACCAUAGCUUCCUUCUAUCCCCAUUCUUAAUGUAAAUGGUGUUGUCUUCUUUCUA